AGAGUUUGAUCCUGGCUCAGAUUGAACGCUGGCGGCAUGCUUUACACAUGCAAGUCGAACGGCAGCACGGGGCAACCUGGUGGCGAGUGGCGAACGGGUGAGUAAUAUAUCGGAACAUGUCCGGAAGUGGGGGAUAACGUAGCGAAAGUUACGCUAAUACCGCAUAUGCCCUGAGGGGGAAAGGAGGGGAUCGUAAGACCUUUCGCUUUCGGAGUGGCCGAUAUCAGAUUAGCUAGUUGGUGGGGUAAAGGCCUACCAAGGCAACGAUCUGUAGCUGGUCUGAGAGGACGACCAGCCACACUGGGACUGAGACACGGCCCAGACUCCUACGGGAGGCAGCAGUGGGGAAUUUUGGACAAUGGGGGAAACCCUGAUCCAGCCAUGCCGCGUGAGUGAAGAAGGCCUUCGGGUUGUAAAGCUCUUUCAGCCGGAAAGAAAUCGUGCAACCUAAUACGUUGCAUGGAUGACGGUACCGGAAGAAGAAGCACCGGCUAACUACGUGCCAGCAGCCGCGGUAAUACGUAGGGUGCGAGCGUUAAUCGGAAUUACUGGGCGUAAAGCGUGCGCAGGCGGUUUUGUAAGACAGAUGUGAAAUCCCCGGGCUUAACCUGGGAACUGCAUUUGUGACUGCAAGGCUAGAGUGUAGCAGAGGGGGGUAGAAUUCCACGUGUAGCAGUGAAAUGCGUAGAUAUGUGGAGGAAUACCGAUGGCGAAGGCAGCCCCCUGGGUCGAUACUGACGCUCAUGCACGAAAGCGUGGGGGAGCAAACAGGAUUAGAUACCCUGGUAGUCCACGCCCUA
Molecule: ribosomal RNA, 800 nt
Filed under: uncultured bacterium
Lineage: Bacteria
Description: bacterial SSU rRNA
Rfam family: Bacterial small subunit ribosomal RNA
Source: RNAcentral